Molecule: transfer RNA, 73 nt
Filed under: Rubrobacter xylanophilus DSM 9941
Lineage: Bacteria; Bacillati; Actinomycetota; Rubrobacteria; Rubrobacterales; Rubrobacteraceae
Also listed under: 2 other names
Description: tRNA-Arg (CCT) (tRNA-Arg-CCT-1-1)
Rfam family: tRNA
About the family: Transfer RNA (tRNA) molecules are approximately 80 nucleotides in length. Their secondary structure includes four short double-helical elements and three loops (D, anti-codon, and T loops). Further hydrogen bonds mediate the characteristic L-shaped molecular structure. tRNAs have two regions of fundamental functional importance: the anti-codon, which is responsible for specific mRNA codon recognition, and the 3' end, to which the tRNAs corresponding amino acid is attached (by aminoacyl-tRNA synthetases). tRNAs cope with the degeneracy of the genetic code in two manners: having more than one tRNA (with a specific anti-codon) for a particular amino acid; and 'wobble' base-pairing, i.e. permitting non-standard base-pairing at the 3rd anti-codon position.
Source: Rfam by way of RNAcentral
GCGCCUGUAGCUCAGGGGAUAGAGCAGGGGUUUCCUAAACCCCGUGUCGGAGGUUCGAAUCCUUCCAGGCGCA